UUAAUUGUAACACUAACUUUAUUUAAGUCAACAUAUCCAAAGUAUUAUCAUUUCAAUGUGUAAACUAUAUAAAAAUUAUUAAUGAGAUAUUAUAAUCUUUUCUUCAUACUAAGUCUGAAGUUGGUGUGCAUUUUCAGUUUCAGUGCAUCUCAUUUUGGCCUAACCACAUUUUAAGAGCUCAGUAGCCUCAUGUGACUAGUGGCUACUGUGUUGGACAGCAUAGCGUUAGAUAAUUCUCCAAGCUGAAGAGAGAGGUCAAAUAAGAGAGCGACAGUGGCUCCAAGAUACAGCUGGGGUGCCAGGGUGGGGGGUCGGCGAGGAGUCACAAUGACUCAUAGAAUGUCCAGGGAGUUUUGGGGAUCUGAGAGCACAGGAACCUGUGCUCACGUCUCAGGUGGGGCCAGGGUGAACAGGGGAGGGUAGAAGUGGCAACUAGAUGCGUCUAGGACAGCGCCCCACGUCUGCCACAUCCCCCCAAGUCUCCAGAGUGGCACAGGGGAACAUCCAACAGUUCCCCAGUCCCUAAGAGGAGUGAGGACGUGGCUCAGGAAGAAUCGUCACCAUCAGAAUAGGCCGCUGCAAGUGCAGGACUGAUGAUCCGAGUCGAUGGGAAUGUGGACACAGCAGUGAACGCCAGCCUAGAGGGGCGCUGAUGGCCAAAGACCUGACGCUUCACAUCAUGUCUCCUAAACUUCAGUGCCACUCUGGGGAGAUGAGAGGGAAAGGAGAAGUUCUGAAUUCAUAGUUUACCUGAAAUGAUGAAAAAACCCAGAGACCCUACAGCUUGCUCCCCCUGGACAGAAACUCCCUCCUGCCCCGGCCGUCCUGGGCUCCAUCUCUGUGGGCAGCCUCACUGUGCGCACCUUGGCAUCCCAGGUCGCUCCUCAGCACCCACGUCCUCACCGAAUAACGAAAGAAUGGCAGUGCAGCAGCAGCUCAGUUGUGUGCCAUCUACUGAGCAGGAUAAGUAGAAACUGCCGGGAGAGCUUUUUCCUUUUCCUUUAAAUUGUACAAUUACAGCAUUUUGGACCUAGAAAAGAAUUUAAUGA
Molecule: long non-coding RNA, 1049 nt
Filed under: Equus asinus (donkey)
Lineage: Eukaryota; Metazoa; Chordata; Mammalia; Perissodactyla; Equidae
Description: lncRNA (ENSEASG00005025645.1)
Source: RNAcentral